GUGUAGCUUAAUGGGAACGAACUGGCCUAGAACACGAGAAACUUGAGUUCGAUUAUCUC
RNAcentral lists this transfer RNA (59 nucleotides) under Amorphochlora amoebiformis. The record is from RNAcentral. Lineage: Eukaryota; Cercozoa; Chlorarachniophyceae.